UAGGGAAUCUUCCGCAAUGGACGCAAGUCUGACGGAGCAACGCCGCGUGAGUGAAGAAGGAUUUCGGUUCGUAAAACUCUGUUGUUAGAGAAGAACAGCGCAUAGAGUAACUGUUAUGCGUGUGACGGUAUCUAACCAGAAAGGGACGGCUAACUACGUGCCAGCAGCCGCGGUAAUACGUAGGUCCCGAGCGUUGUCCGGAUUUAUUGGCGUAAAGCGAGCGCAGGCGGUUAGAAAAGUCUGAAGUGAAAGGCAGUGGCUCAACCAUUGUAGGCUUUGGAAACUGUUUAACUUGAGUGCAGAAUGGGAGAGUGGAAUUCCAUGUGUAGCGGUGAAAUGCGUAGAUAUAUGGAGGAACACCGGUGGCGAAAGCGGCUCUCUGGUCUGUAACUGACGCUGAGGCUCGAAAGCGUGGGGAGCGAACAGG
RNAcentral lists this ribosomal RNA (427 nucleotides) under Bacteroidota bacterium. Its description in RNAcentral is "Bacteroidetes bacterium partial 16S ribosomal RNA". It matches the Rfam family "Bacterial small subunit ribosomal RNA", at positions 355 to 776 of the family's 1533-position model. The record is from RNAcentral. Lineage: Bacteria; Pseudomonadati; Bacteroidota.